RNAcentral lists this long non-coding RNA (676 nucleotides) under Rattus norvegicus (Norway rat). Its description in RNAcentral is "long non-coding RNA NONRATT012320". Lineage: Eukaryota; Metazoa; Chordata; Mammalia; Rodentia; Muridae. The record is from RNAcentral.
UUCAUGCCAAAAUGUGAGAGGAAGUUCUGGGCAUCCUCAUAGUGAAGAUGCUAUUGCAGGGUGAUAUAGGAAGACAGGCCUCUUGGAUAUCACACUAUGAGACAGGGCUUAUGGAGGCGAUGAGGCCCUAUAUGGCUAUUGGUGCCAUAGUUACACAGAGUUGUGGACCUCUUGUACUUCUGAUGGGAGCUGAUGCUUUUGCAUCCUUUCUUUUGCACUUCUAGCGAGCAACUUCUCCAGGACUCCACACCACAACCCUGGUGGAACCCUCUUCAGAAAAUCGAUCACCUUCCUCUCUUUCAUGUGUUGUCUUAUGUCAAGUUCUUGGAGUAUCUUAUACACAAGGAAUUUAGUCACAUUUUCUGUGGCAUAUACACUCUGUUCUCUGAGUCAGUCGUGGCUACUGCCCAUGUCCUCAGAAGCCCUUCCUCAGCAGAACAUAAAACCGUGAGGUUUUAUGAUACCAGUAGCCUUGGCCAAGCUCCUUCCCAGGCUCAAGGACCUCCAGAGUGUUCACAAGAACAGCCAUUGCCUGCACAACUUGUGACACCAAGCUCGUUACCUGUGACAAAGGCCCAACUAAUGCAAAUUUUCCCAAGCUCUACACCAAUCAAAACACCUCCUUGUUUCAAGAGGCAGGCCUUUGGAAAACCACGUCCUACCAGUGACAAAGGUA